Long non-coding RNA from Felis catus (domestic cat), 978 nucleotides. RefSeq lists it as uncharacterized. The record is from RefSeq and is a predicted model, not a curated record. NCBI's taxonomy places the organism in Eukaryota, Metazoa, Chordata, Mammalia, Carnivora, Felidae. The transcript is spliced from 2 exons.
UCCUUUCCUGCUUUGCAUGGCUGGCUCCUUCCCAGCAUGCUGGCCUCCCCUCAACAGCACCUCCUCCAAGUGGCCUUCCCUGUCUAAAACCCGAUUCUCUAUCACAUGACCAAGCUAUUUCCUUCCAGUACUGUUGCUAUCUAAAAUGGUAUUGCUUGUUUUUUUCUUUGUCUAUUGUUUGCCUCUCCUUAUUGGAAUUCAAGCUGUUGCCUCUAGAACAGUGCCUGACCCAUAGUAGGUGUUCCACAGAACAUUUGUUACAUGAAUGAAUUCCUAACAAGAAAUAUGGUUGCAGCUUCCAGAAACUCCAUCUGGAAUUCACAGAAAGUUGAUAAUGACUCUAAAUUUCACUUAUCUGUUAUCUCUAGACUGAUGCCCUCCUUCUUCACUACUCUCUCCCUCACCCUGUGAUCUUUCUCUCCUUCUUUCUUACAACCCCUCCUCUCUUUUCCCUUCCCCUUCCUUUCACUUGUACUCUGCUCUUUCCUCUAUCUUUUCCUUGCUGCUUGCCCAGGAUGCAGGCAACUCGGUAGACAAGACAAGGAAACAGUCCCACCUGGUUUACUCACAAUGGCCAUUGUCAUGACUAAGAAAAAUUUUUUACUGGUUCAUGGAUGUCUAUGUGACAGUCUAUCCCAGGAACCCCAGACAGCCCUAGGGUGCUGAACAGACAGCCUGGCACCCUGAUGAGCUUGUCCCUUCUGAGAUUACUGUAGUUUAGAGUAUAUUUGUCAGCAUGAAUUUUGGGCCUAGGUGCUGGAAAUGAACAGGAGCCUUCAGCAGAAAGUCAAAAUGUUUCCUUCCAAUCCUGCUGAAUGAUAAUGUUCCAGGGAGACCAGCACUUGGAAACAAAAGUGACUACUCUUUUGUCCUAAUCUUAAGUCCCAUCACCUUGGCUGGAAACUCUGAGUUCUGGUAAUGAGUGUUGAGAGGCAAUCUGAGGAUAGUAAUUAGGUAUUAAACCUAGACGGGUACUAA